Molecule: RNA transcript, 1518 nt
Organism: Momordica charantia (bitter melon)
Lineage: Eukaryota; Viridiplantae; Streptophyta; Magnoliopsida; Cucurbitales; Cucurbitaceae
Gene name: transmembrane protein, putative (Protein of unknown function, DUF599)
Source: RefSeq, a predicted model, not a curated record
CUGCAAGUUGCUUGUCCUGCAUCACGUGCUUCAUGUUCGACGGUUACUUAAAACUUGUUUAAUCUGUGUUUCUCUCGCUACGAUGCGACAGAUAAUCUUACAAAAUUACUUCUGUUAUUCAACCCCUCCUUUUUAAAUUGAGUUUGACAAAUAUUACAAAAUAACGUGCCUGCAAGCCUUUUGAGCUGUUGCUGUUACUAUAAGUUGUCGCCAUUGAUGUACACGAGUUGUGUGAUAGAGAUUUGGUAGUUUGCAGAAGCUGAGCUGAGUUGGGAUGGAGGCGAGACAGCUUGAAUAUGUGAUGGUUCCGCUUGGUUUUGCGGUGCUGGUGGGCUACCAUCUUUGGCUGGUAAUCACCAUUCACCGGAGACCCAGAAUAACGGUCAUCGGAAUCAAUGCCGAAUCCCGCCGGCAAUGGGUCUCAACCAUGAUUCAAGACCCUUCAAAGAAUGGUGUUCUUGCUGUCCAAACCAUACGAAACAACAUCAUGGCUUCUACGCUUAUGGCGACGACAACGAUCACGGUUGGCUCAUUGAUCAGUGUUUUUGUGAGCAGCACAUCGAGUACCGGCAAAUACCGUUACAUUGUACUGUGUUUCCUCGUUGCAUUUCUUUGCAAUGUGCAGUCUAUCAGAUACUAUGCUCAUGCCAGCUUCUUAGUCACUUUGCCUGCUUGUGAAGGCAGACAGGAUUAUCUUGCUGCAGCCUUGAAUCGAGGAAGCUUUUUCUGGUCGCUCGGAUUGCGAGCUUUCUAUUUUGCAAUUCCUCUCUUCAUCUGGAUCUUUGGACAUCUUUCCAUGUUUUUGAGCUGCUGCCUGAUAGCAUUUGUUCUUUACUUUCUGGACUUUACUAGAAGUUCCAGCUACGAUCCUUAUGAUUACGCUCAAAAGGAAGAAGCAAACAACGACGUUGAAUCUUUGGGUCAAUCAGGGGGAAACAACUGCUCUGCAAACUCCUGCCUUCACUCACCUCUACUUGCAGGUUCCAAUGCAACUCCCAACUGAAAUGGCUGUGCAAAUCAAAACAGAAUUACAAUUUGUUACAGAAAAAUACUGCUUUUUUCAGCUAUAUCUAGUGUUGAGAACUGAGAUUGGGGAGAGAUCGAACGCACUUUUCAUUUGUUCACAAUCCACAGCUUUUGAGGUCGUGUUGAUCACUUCAACGGGUCCGUUUCUUUCUCGGUCAUAUUGUUAUACUCGAACACUUCACUGUGCGGCAUCAUCUGUUGCUCUCAAUAUGACCUCAAGAAAAGCCAGCCAGACUAGUUACCAAAAAUGUCAUUUUAAUAGGGAGAGAGAGAGGCUUAUCUGAGACUCCCAAGUCCUAACCAAUGUUUGGCAUCUACUUAUGGCACAGUUUUAAAGGAGAAUUAGCCAUUGCCCAAAAAAAUGCAUGUGUUUUGGGACGUUCUGUUCAUAAUUGAAUGUGUUUGAGUCCAAUUUGAUUAUGAUUUCCAAGAAACGUGAUGGAUUUGCAUAAAUGUCACCAAAUCUGACCUUAUUAUAUAUUGCUGCAUUGG